GGCACUCCCGGCUGGGCGGAUGGUAACUGUUAUGGCGGUGUGUAGGUUAAUCUGCUGCCAUCCUACAUUAUUGAUAAGUUAUCAGAAGUUAACACCUCCCAGGUUUCCUUCAGAGAAAGAACUUGGUUAAUGUGUGCGGGUUUUGUUGAGUGAAAGUUGUUUAAAGCCUCUUAUUUUCCACCGGAAACGACCAUCAGCGUGUUUUCUCCAGCUAAAGAUGGCGCCGCAGUUUCCAUGACGACGGAGCGGCAGCAGCUGAGGAGAAGCUGAAGUUGAGACGGAAGAAGUCCAGGCCGACUGAUGGACCUCCUGCUGGGUCCGGGUUCUGCUGGGUCCUGAAGCUGGAUGAGACGUGGCUGCAGCUGAUCGUUCUCUGCUUCUUCAUUUUCUCCAACUAAAGAAUCUUUAGACUGAAAGAAGUUCCUGUUAAUUCACUGAUUAAAGGUCAGAGGAUGUUUGAUCUGCUGCUGCGCUGCAGGACUGACCUGAAAU
Long non-coding RNA from Nematolebias whitei (Rio pearlfish), 492 nucleotides. RefSeq lists it as uncharacterized. The transcript has 3 exons. The record is from RefSeq and is a predicted model, not a curated record. Lineage: Eukaryota; Metazoa; Chordata; Actinopteri; Cyprinodontiformes; Rivulidae.